Molecule: ribosomal RNA, 253 nt
Filed under: uncultured bacterium
Lineage: Bacteria
Description: partial 16S ribosomal RNA
Rfam family: Bacterial small subunit ribosomal RNA
Source: RNAcentral
UACGUAGGGUGCAAGCGUUAAUCGGAAUUACUGGGCGUAAAGCGUGCGCAGGCGGUUAUGUAAGACAGAUGUGAAAUGCCCGGGCUUAACCUGGGAACUGCAUUUGUGACUGCAUGGCUAGAGUUUGGCAGAGGGGGGUAGAAUUCCACGUGUAGCAGUGAAAUGCGUAGAGAUGUGGAGGAAUACCGAUGGCGAAGGCAGCCUCCUGGGCCAACACUGACGCUCAUGCACGAAAGCGUGGGGAGCAAACAGG